AUUGAACGCUGGCGGAAUGCUUUACACAUGCAAGUCGAACGGCAGCACGGACUUCGGCCUGGUGGCGAGUGGCGAACGGGUGAGUAAUGUAUCGGAACGUGCCCAGUCGUGGGGGAUAACGUAGUGAAAAUUACGCUAAUACCGCAUACGAUCUAUGGAUGAAAGCGGGGGAUCGCAAGACCUCGCGCGAUUGGAGCGGCCGAUAUCAGAUUAGGUAGUUGGUGGGGUAAAGGCCCACCAAGCCAACGAUCUGUAGCUGGUCUGAGCGGACGACCAGCCAAACGGGAACUGAGACACGGUCCAGACUACUACGGGCGGCAGCAGUGGGGAAUUUUAGACAAUGGGCGAAAGCCUGGUCCAGCCAGUCCGCGUGCAGGAUGAAGGCCCUCGGGUUGUAAACUGCUUUUGUACAGAAAGAAAAGGUUUCUACUAAUACUAGGAGCUCAUGACGGUACUGUAAGAAUAAGCACCGGCUAACUACGUGCCAGCCGCCGCCGUAA
RNAcentral lists this ribosomal RNA (500 nucleotides) under uncultured bacterium. RNAcentral's name for it is "partial 16S ribosomal RNA". It matches the Rfam family "Bacterial small subunit ribosomal RNA", at positions 30 to 523 of the family's 1533-position model. The record is from RNAcentral.